RNAcentral lists this ribosomal RNA (451 nucleotides) under uncultured bacterium. Its description in RNAcentral is "partial 16S ribosomal RNA". It matches the Rfam family "Bacterial small subunit ribosomal RNA", at positions 28 to 507 of the family's 1533-position model. The record is from RNAcentral.
GGCUAACGCUGGCGGCGCGCCUAACACAUGCAAGUCGAACGAACCCUUCGGGGUUAGUGGCAGACGGGUGAGUAACGCGUGGAUAAUGUCCCUCUUUGCUGGGGAUACCGUUCCGAAAGGAACGUUAAUACCGUAUGUGCUUGUUUGGCGGCAUCGUCGAGCAAGUAAACUGUUAGGGUGAAGAGAGCAGUCCGCGUUCUAUCAGCUGGUUGGUGAGGUAACGGCUAACCAAGGCUACGACGGAUAACUGGUCUGAGAGGCUGAUCAGUCACACUGGAACUGAGACACGGUCCAGACUCCGACGGGAGGCAGCAGUGAGGAAUCUUGAACAAUGGGCGAAAGCCUGAUGCAGCGAGGCCGCGGGAGGGAGGAAGGCCGUCGGGUUGUAAACCUCUGUCAGUAGGGAAGAAGAAUGACGGUACCUACUGAGGAAGCUUCGGCUAACUACGUG